RNAcentral lists this signal recognition particle RNA (304 nucleotides) under Triticum aestivum (bread wheat). Its description in RNAcentral is "Plant signal recognition particle RNA". It matches the Rfam family "Plant signal recognition particle RNA". Lineage: Eukaryota; Viridiplantae; Streptophyta; Magnoliopsida; Poales; Poaceae. The record is from Rfam by way of RNAcentral.
GCCGAGCUCAUUAGUGUGAGCUUGUAACCCGAGCGGGGGCAAUAAGGUGGUGUGGACGUUGCCGUGGCGCUGCGGGCCUGGUCGGGUUGUGCUAUUGCUGGCCCGCCCGUUCCAAGUUGAGUAGUGGACCGUUUGGGGCCUGUGCAAAAGCUGGGCUUCACGGGCCAUGAUGUGGCAGGCACUGCGCGAGGCUGGUCUCACAGAGCAGCGAUCACUGCCCGCUUCGAACGGUGGAAGGAUAACGGGCUGCUGCCCAACCUGGCCGCUUGGGCCUCGCAGCCCACUCCAACGAACCACCAUUUUU